UAACUGGAGCCGCCUCAGCUAGAUUUGACAAAUCCACCGGAUCAAAAUAAAUUGUUAUGGUGGAGACCUCUUCUUUUCCCAUAUCAGCCCUCUCAAUCAGAAUACUCCCAUUGUCCAUCAAACCCUGGACAGUCCUCCUCAAUAAUUCACACCCAUUCUGAACAACAGUGCACUCAGCACAAUCAAUACCACAGCCCGGGUGAACCCCAUUC
This 212-nucleotide long non-coding RNA is filed under the name Lathyrus oleraceus (garden pea). Its description in RNAcentral is "Pisum sativum (pea) long non-coding RNA (PSAT_LNC029558)". The record is from RNAcentral. Lineage: Eukaryota; Viridiplantae; Streptophyta; Magnoliopsida; Fabales; Fabaceae.